This 516-nucleotide ribosomal RNA is filed under the name Triticum aestivum (bread wheat). Its description in RNAcentral is "partial small subunit ribosomal RNA". The record is from RNAcentral. Lineage: Eukaryota; Viridiplantae; Streptophyta; Magnoliopsida; Poales; Poaceae.
AUCUGGAGGGCUCCUAUUCCUCCUAAGGUCAAGGUUUUCCUCUGGCAAGCGUCUCGUGGGCGAUUGCCGACGGGUGAUCAGAUUCGCAAGCGAAAUGGCCCGGGAUCUGAUAGCUGUGCCUUGUGUGGGAUGAGAGAAGACGCGUUUCAUAUUUUCUUUAACUGUGUGUUGGCUAAAUUAUUAUGGUGUUGUAUCAGAUCCUGGUUGCAUGUCCCCUGGGCUCCGAACUCCUUCUAUGACCUGCACAUCUUGACCAAUUCUUUGGUUGGGGCCCAGAGGAGAUUGUUUUGGGUGGGCUUCAUAGCUAUGUGCUGGACUCUUUGGACGACAAGGAACACAUUUACUAUUGAACAUGUCUUCCCUACUAAGCCUGCUGAUUGCUUAUUUAAGACCUGUAUAUUCCCGCAGCAGUGGAGAUUAUUGACUAAGGAGGAGGACAGGGAUGCCUUCGACGCCAUGUUGGCCAAGAUCCGAAAUUCUGCCAUCUCCAUCUCCCCAGUUCAAGCAGGCAAUUAG